RNAcentral lists this long non-coding RNA (3786 nucleotides) under Capsicum annuum. RNAcentral's name for it is "long non-coding RNA (CANN_LNC013066)". Lineage: Eukaryota; Viridiplantae; Streptophyta; Magnoliopsida; Solanales; Solanaceae. The record is from RNAcentral.
UUCUCAUCUUUUAAUGCUCAUUUCUUUUGUCAUUCGAAUGUAACUAUUUAAUUAUAUUAAAUUUAUAUUCUCUUCCAUCAAUCGAAAAUCGAACAGAAUAAAAUAAUAAUGUAAAUUGAAAAAUCAAAUCAUACCCCUGCGGAUACUACAUACUAGUCAAAAGUUAUAGUGAAGAACAACAUACACACUUGAGAUCGAGGUAAAGUUACGCAUAAUUUUUCUAAACUUCUUUUCCAUUUUUCGUCAACUUACACAUAGGGGACAAUAAAGAGUAGAUGAACGACAAAAUUACAAGGUAGAGAAUCAGAACCUCUUCAAUUUUAAGAUGAAUGUUUAGUUAACCAACCAUCCGAACUACUAAUAUUUCCUUAUUCAUCUGAACAUAAUUAAUCACUCCAUGUUAAAAUCAACAUCGUAUGUCUUUCUGGAACAAAUUUCCCCCGCUUAGUAUAGUUUCAAAAAUUUCCUAGCAAUGUUGCCAUUAGCACCAUGAGGAAAGAACCCACCACGAGCAUGCUCAUUGCCAGUGUUAUACACAAUCCUUAAUAUCUCAGCCGGAGUCCGCCGCUGAGAGAGCGAAUCGAUAUCGGCCGAUAAUAUGUUAGUUGUUGUCAGAUUCUCAGCACCAAGUUGCCAUGGCACGAACAAGCCUUCCUCUUUAGUACCACACAUUGCCAAACGGUUUCUUAAAUUGGAAAUGUGGAUAGUGAACUCUGCCACAGUGUGUUUGUAGGGGUAUACUACUUUUCCAGCUCUCUCGUAAAGGUACAUUCUGAUAAUUGCAUCUUGCCCUGAUUCAACCCCUAAUAGUCCUGCCAAAAGCUACAAAGACAAAUACAAAAUUUGAAUUACUAAUAUCAAAUGAAUUGUCAUGGUUUGCUUUUUGUGAGUCACAAACUAUGUGAAUUUUGAUCGAUAUUUUAAAGUAUAUUUUCUCAUCAAAAUGACGUAAGAAAAAGUUGCAAGUGUAUAGUUUUUUAAUAUCUAAAUUUUAAUCGCAAAAUAGUGAGUUGAUCUAAUCUAAUUUAGUUUUAAAAAUCAGUCAAAUGAAGAUUAAUUUGGGACCAGGGGAGUAUCAAGUAUGUUGCUAAUUUCGGGCAGAGCGAUAUAUGGUCAGUCGAGCAUCACUGAUCAGAAAAUUAUACUGUGCUUACAAGUCAUUAGGUUUUACUAAAUCUUGAAUACUCUCUGAAAAUUUGAGGAUUCUCCACAGAUACUUACCCUUUUUGUUUCAUAGCCUUUGAUGAGGGGAUUCAUACCAACAUAGCCAACCAAUGCAGCAUAUGGCAAUGCAUAACAAGACAACAUGAAAUUGAGACUAUCCCUAUAAGGAUCAAAUGGGGGUUCCAAUUUGUAACCAAAUGCUUCAUCAAAUAGCUUUGCAAAGUGAUUAGCACUUAGAUCCAUCAAAGGUCUUGGGAAACCACCCAUUUUCGAUUUAAGUGCCCUACAAAAAAGGACCAAAAAAGAUCAAAUUAGUAAUACUUUACCGUACCAAUAUAUCUUUUAGUUAUCUUUUUGUCUAUACAUUAUCAGUGUAUACAAGUUAAAUUCGGAUAAGAAUGGACCUUAGAUGACCAACUUCUUGCAUAGCAAACUCAGUGAUGAUGUUUCUUGUAAAAAGAUCAAGAUUUGCUCUGUGGACACCAAUUGGAGGAGGCCCUCCCAUGACUAAUUCUGGUGCUACAAUAUCAAGGCCAUAACCAUGUGUAGCCCACAAGUAAUACUCAGCUUCCAAAAACUCCAAGUUCUCAGAGAAUUGCAACAAGUCAAUAUCUUUUUUGUAUACUGGGAGUCCAUACUGUGGAAUCCUUGUUGGACAAAGAAAAUCUUGAGAAUGGGAGAUGCACAUCAGCAUGCUUGCCAUCAAAAUCAUGAAAAUUAAAAAAUAGGGAGGUGAAGUAAUUGAUAUUGUAGGCAUUUUUGGUGUUCUUUUUUUGUUGUUGGUGGUUAAUUAAGUUGUAAGGAAGAUUAAGAGAGGAGUUUAUAUAUAGGGAUAUUGGAUACUAUGAAUUAUGACAUACUUAAUUAGUACCAAGUUUUAGUCAAUGUAAUUUGAAUUUCAUUCAGUGAACACCUAAUUAGUGGCUAACCAGAACAGUGUCAACUUUAUAUGCAUGCCUUAGCUAGACUCUACCUUCCUCCAACCUAUAAUCAUAAAUAAGAAGAUAUACCAAUAAAAAUAGAAAAAAAGAAAAUAGAAACCAGAAAAGGAACAAGAAGAGAAAUUAAGACUGGAAUUGUGUUAAUGAGUAAUGACAUGAGCUAGAUUUUCUAGGUUUCGAGUCAGAUAUUUUAAUAAGGUGAUUAAAAAAAUAUUAAGUGAUCAAUUUCUUUCUUUUUUUUUUUAAAGGAAUUUCUACGUGUUAUAUUUACCUAAUUUAUUCAACUUAUGUACACGGCAUAAUUUCGCCACUAGCUGGUCUACACUAACAACAACAACAACAAACCCAGUGUAUUCCCACCUAGUGGGGUCUCUAGCUGGUCUACACUGAGUUCACAAAAUUGACACACAUACACACAAAUGCGAUUCAGAAGAAUACCUUUUUUAAAAAAAUGAAAAGGUAAGAUGAUCUAAGCCAAAGUAAUUAAUCAAAACAUGUUUAGGAAAUUAAAUAGAACACUAUUUCUUAUAACUUUUUUUUUUUUGAAAUUCAGAUUUUAUAUAAAACUGUGUAGUCUAAACAAUUACGUAGUAUUUGAUUCCUGUUAAAUUUAAACUCAUCAUAUUUAUCCACAUGAAUUAAAAAUCUCUCAAUUUUCAUCUUGCAAUUCAUGAGUUAGAGUAUUAAAUUAAAGAGAUUAUUCUGUUGAUCAAUCACUCUAAUUAGCGUAUAUGUAUCUUCUUGAUCAUUACACUUAUUUUAAGAAUUCUAUUUGUACACAAACUUCACUUCUGAUUAACAUGAACAAAAGAAAAUUAGUAGUCGAUAAACUUGGAAACUCUCCAAAGCCAAUUGAAACUCUUGCUUGACAACCCUAUAAAAUUCCACUGCACCAGCUUUUAUAUUUCAUCUUAAUUAAGAGAGUUGCUACAACAAUUUCUUUACUACUAUUAACCAUGGCAAAAAAAAAUUGUGUUGUUACUUUUCUCAUUUGCAUUUUCCUACUUGUCAACUUAGCUUUUGCAGCUGAAAAAUCUGAUUCAUUCUCAGAUGUUGAAAGUGCUACUACACAAGCUAAGGAAUUAGAUUGGUUCUAUCUGCCAUGGUAUCAUUCAUGGUUCCAGUCUCAUCCAUGGCCAUUCGUUCAUCCUCCAAUGCCUGCUGGUGGUUUCCGUUCUCAUCCAUGGUCAUUUGUUCAUCCUCCAAUGUCUGCUGGUGGUUUUCAUCCUAGGUUUCCUUAUCCAUGGGCUCACCGUUAUCCAGUCCCCUCUCCACGUAAAGACAACACAGGAAAGAAUUAAGAAGAUUCAUUAAUGAAGAGAAGUGGUGGAUCAAUGUCUUAUAAUCAAAUAUUUGUUUUGAAUUAAUUAGUAUUUUUAAGAUUCAUUGUUCAAGGCUAGUUAUUUUCAUUUGUAUGAAUUUCCAUUUUCCGUUCAUAUAGGAAUAUUGUUUGAUUAGGCUUAUCAUGAAAUAAACUUGAAUUUUUGUUUUUAAUUAUACAUAUUUACAUAUAAGCUAGUUGAUGGCUCUCUAGUCUCUACGACUUAAUUUGAAAAUGCAAACAAUUUCUAGUUACACGUUUCUUGCUUUUUCAUGCUGUUAUUAUUGAAUUAGUUCCACAAACAUCAUUAUAAUUUAUAUUUUAUAGUGAAUUAGUGGACACUUUAAUUUCUUAUUUCUU